CCUACGGGUGGCUGCAGUCGAGAAUCAUUCACAAUGGGGGAAACCCUGAUGGUGCGACGCCGCGUGGGGGAAUGAAGGUCUUCGGAUUGUAAACCCCUGUCAUGUGGGAGCAAAUUAAAAAGAUAGUACCACAAGAGGAAGAGACGGCUAACUCUGUGCCAGCAGCCGCGGGAAUACAGAGGUCUCAAGCGUUGUUCGGAAUCACUGGGCGUAAAGCGUGCGUAGGCUGUUUCGUAAGUCGUGUGUGAAAGGCGCGGGCUCAACCCGCGGACGGCACAUGAUACUGCGAGACUAGGGUAAUGGAGGGGGAACCGGAAUUCUCGGUGUAGCAGUGAAAUGCGUAGAUAUCGAGAGGAACACUCGUGGCGAAGGCGGGUUCCUGGACAUUAACUGACGCUGAGGCACGAAGGCCAGGGGAGCGAAAGGGAUUAGAUACCCCAGUAGUC
This 446-nucleotide ribosomal RNA is filed under the name uncultured bacterium. RNAcentral describes it as "partial 16S ribosomal RNA". It matches the Rfam family "Bacterial small subunit ribosomal RNA", at positions 338 to 795 of the family's 1533-position model. The record is from RNAcentral.